UACAUGGGGUGCAAACGUUGCUCGGAAUUAUUGGGCGUAAAGCGCGCGUAGGCGGUUAUCUAAGUCGGAUGUGAAGGCCCUCGGCUUAACUGAGGAAGUGCACCCGAAACUGGAUAGCUAGAGUACGAAAGAGGGUCGCGGAAUUCCCGGUGUAGAGGUGAAAUUCGUAGAUAUCGGGAGGAACACCGGUGGCGAAGGCGGCGACCUGGGUCGAGACUGACGCUGAGGCGCGAAAGCGUGGGGAGCAAACAGG
Molecule: ribosomal RNA, 253 nt
Filed under: uncultured bacterium
Lineage: Bacteria
Description: partial 16S ribosomal RNA
Rfam family: Bacterial small subunit ribosomal RNA
Source: RNAcentral